CAAAGAUUAGCAGAGACACUCGGUCCCUGGCAGCCUGCAGUCCAGACUCCAUUUCAGAUAUGUUGCCCUAUACCAAUUCAUACCAGGACAGCGUUCAGCUGCUACUUCGUCAACUACUGCCCACUACUCCAAGUAUGGAGUGAAGCCGAGGUCAGUUUACGUCUAUCUCUGAUAAACGGUGACUAAAUCACAAAGCAUGUCACUCAAACAGUUGAAGUGGUCAUGGUGCCUACAGUGUCCGUUUACAUAUCUACAGUAUCGUCAGGAUCCAAUGAAAUAUCGAAACAUGCUAGAGAUAAAGUUGUGGAGAAGGA
This is a non-coding RNA of Pelobates cultripes (western spadefoot toad), 314 nucleotides long. Lineage: Eukaryota; Metazoa; Chordata; Amphibia; Anura; Pelobatidae. The record is from the annotation of a GenBank genome assembly.